UGGAUAAGGGCCAGAUGAGCUCCACAUACGGAUCCCAGAUCCGGGCCAGAUGAGCCCCAAAUGUGUAUUACGGAUCGGGGCCAGAUCUGGGCCGGAUCCAAUCCACAUGUUUUCUAUUAGUGGCGAUCUGGGCUUAUCUCUAGCCGCGGCUCUGGUAUUACACUAGCUAGGCCUAUCUAUCUAUCUGUUUCAAGAUGAAUGUUAUUCACCCACAACAUCAGCCAAUAAUAAUGACUUCAUAAUUGCAAAUAAUUCUACCUGCAUCAUAUCAGACCCUAAGUACAAUGUAUCAAUCUGUAUGUAACCCACAGACAAUCAGUUAUUUUACAUUGGCCCCCAAAAGAAAUAUAUGCGCCUGGUGGUCCUGUCGGAGGACCAAAAAAAGGCAGUCGAAAGAGAAUGCAACGAUGACCCAGGUACAGGGUGGUGGUAUGAGAGCGUCAAGAGAUAAAGUGGUCCGUGGCUACUACUGGUCCACUAUAAAUGACGACGUGAGGGAAUAGUACAAGCACUACCACCAAUGGCAACUUUCAUGAUCCAAUAAAGACCGUGCCCCAUCUCCUCCACCCAAUCCAGGUGAAUGAGCCAUGGACGGUAAUCGGCAUGGACCUAAUCGGUCCCCUGAGGACCACCGAGGCAGUGCACACAUAGGUCCUCACCGUCACUGAUCUUUUCACCAAGUGGGAUAUGACUGAGCCUCUCCAGACGGCCUCAGCAACAGCUGUUGCUACAGCACUGAUGGGGAAGCUGUAUCUCUUUAGAUUUGUCAAAAAAUUCAUAUCGGACCAAGACCGAGAAUUUGUCAAUGUGGUAGGCUAUGUAGGCCUAUACAGCCCAACCUCAA
Long non-coding RNA from Engraulis encrasicolus (European anchovy), 844 nucleotides. RefSeq lists it as uncharacterized. The record is from RefSeq and is a predicted model, not a curated record. Lineage: Eukaryota; Metazoa; Chordata; Actinopteri; Clupeiformes; Engraulidae. The transcript is spliced from 3 exons.